RNAcentral lists this unclassified non-coding RNA (1518 nucleotides) under Dimorphilus gyrociliatus. Its description in RNAcentral is "hypothetical protein". Lineage: Eukaryota; Metazoa; Annelida; Polychaeta; Dinophilidae. The record is from RNAcentral.
CAAACCAGUCAAACAUUCGUUUUUGGUCUUGCAGCCUGGAUCGUGAAGGUUUUGAAAACAUUUACUAAAAUUUACAAUGUCUCCAUGGACUGGUCGAGCCGUAAUGAGAAUGAAGAUGCCUAUGGGCGGUAGUAAUCUUCCUCUAGCUGGAACUUGUAAAGUUGAAGGAAAGGCUCUCUCCAUGAAAUUUACCUUUACAACUAUUGGAUUUGAACUUCCUAAAGACCCAAGUGUUGAUAAAGUGGAUUUUGAUUGCAAGGUAAAAGGAUCUUGGGGAGAAAUGACGCUUAGCGUUGUUUACAAUAAAGGUUUAGAUUGUUUCCACGGUAAAGCCGUUCAAGAGGGAGAAGAGGAGCCGGGUUUAAGCUUUUGCUUCUGGUCAGAAGACAGCCCCUUGUCUACAAUCCCUUGCCUUUAAGAGCAAUUCUGCAAAAUCUCCAAUUUUAAUUAGUUCUUCUUCUAGUUUGCUUCUACUAUUAUAAACAUGCGGUGCCUUUAAAAAAUUAUUUAACUUUCAAUUGAAGCCACAGGCCUAUUUGCUUAAUAUGACAGAAAUUGGAUUUAAAAUAUACAUAUAUCUAAAGUUUGCAAAUACAUCUCUGUAUGUCUUUAUGUAUGAAAUAUAUAGCAUAAGCACAUACUGUAUAUUACUGCUCUAUCAUGUCUAUUAUGAUUUUAAAUUAUCUUGUAUAGGCGUCUAUCAGCUGCAAUAUUUUCCAGUCAUAUUGAUUGGUAUAACAAAUAUAUGUCGCUGCAGUGUUUGAACAAUUAAAAGCACAAACUUUUCCGAGGACCUUUACUACGAUAAGUGAAAAAAAAAGAAUAAAACAUAAGAGAUUAAAGAAAGGUAUUUUUCUUAUUGAUUAACAUCGUUCGGCUAUGAAAAUAUUGUAAAGGUUUAAAAUUCAAACUUAUCACAUUAAGAACACUUUUGAUAUAAUAUACUCUACUUGAAAAGGUUUUACAAAUACUGUUCCAUACUAUUCAUUUUAUCUGUCAUUCCUUCGUUUCGUCUCUCUCUCACUCACUCACUCUCUCUCUCUCUCUCUCUUUCUGUCUCUUUCUUUCUUGAUUACUCGGCUCUUACAUUUAAGAUAGAUCGUUCUUGAAAAGGAUAGGCGUGUCCAAAGAAAGAAAAAGGAAAGAGAAUAUUGAAGGAAGAAAUAAACGAAGAAUAGAAUUCAUUUGUAUUUUAUUUUAAAUUAUAGAUCUCAGCUAUUAAUUUUUUAUGACUAACAAACUAGAGAUGGCACCACCUUCUGUAGCAAGUUUUGUGUUAUUUCAAAUUACGAUCGCUAAUAUUUGAAUAGUGGAAAAAAAGUACGAAGAAACUAAAGGUUAAAGUUGAUCAAGUGCUUAUGUAGUCCUUAUCAAGUACAUCAAUAGACACUCAUACGGUUCGAUAAUCCUAUAGAUUUCUUAAUUUAUAUAAUAUAUUUAGGCAAUAACAAUAGCAAAUAAAAUGAAAUUUUAGAAGAGAAAAAGAAGGAAAAGCUAAUCUUCAAUCCAAAAUAUAGC